GAAAACCAAAAACCAAAAUCCAAAAUCUAAAAACCAAAAACUAAAAUCUAAAAACCAAAAAAGUAGAAAGUAUUGAAACAAUCAUCACCUUAGUGAUUUCUGUUCUUUCUCUGCCUAAACAAACCCAUCUUUUUCUUCUCCGUGAAAAGACUUUGCGAUGCGCGUUUCCAGGGAUAGAGAGCAGUUUAUCAAAGGAUUUGGCCGUGGCUCUAAAUGACUCUGAAUCCCCACAGUGGUGGAUUUUUUAAGCGAGAAGGGAUCACUUUCGGGCACUAAGUGUUGUUUCCACUGAAUUUCUGCUUUCUCAAGUGUAGGUGAUCUGACAAGGCGAAGCUUCAUGGAGAGCUUGAUGAAGAAGACAGGGGCUAAGAGUCCUUUGGUACUUUCUUAUACCUUUGGUGAUACUGGAAGAAGACAGAUGGAGUUGGUUCAGAAGCAAGGGAAGAGAGAUAGAUGAGAAGCUUGAUGGUGGUGGAAGAGCAGAGAUGUCAAGGAUGAUUGUGAAGGGUUAUUAGUGGUAGAUUGAUAGUAUGUUUGAUUGGUUUUGAUUGUUUGUGUAAAGAAAAAAAUGUUUUAUGGUUUUGUAAACAUGUAAAUAUUUAUUAGUUUUUACAAAUAUUUGAAAUAUAUAUUACAUUAAAAAAUCAAUUCGUAAUUA
Brassica napus (rape) is the source of this 658-nucleotide long non-coding RNA. RefSeq lists it as uncharacterized. The record is from RefSeq and is a predicted model, not a curated record. The transcript is spliced from 3 exons. NCBI's taxonomy places the organism in Eukaryota, Viridiplantae, Streptophyta, Magnoliopsida, Brassicales, Brassicaceae.